GAAUUCUCGGUCGUCAUCGACGAAUUUAAAAAGAAAAAAAAAAAGAAAUGAAAAAAAUGAAAAAAGGAGGAAAAAAUGAACGACGAAACGUCGCUCAUAUUUCUUUCAUUCCGCUCGUUAGCGACGCGAGCAUCGCGAUGAUGAGGCGAUAAAUCGCGGGAACAGCCUUGACUCCUGAGGUAAAAAUCACUCGCAAUACAAGCGAAUGCCUUUGCAGGAUUCACACUCCGGCGGAUUUUAUUCCGCGCUAGACGCUGGAGAUCGCUCCGCGAGAUUCUUUCCCAGAAUCGUCUGGCUAGGAGAAAAUCGGCAUUGAGAAUCGGAGAAAAAGAAAGCUGCCGUGCGAUCCAAGAAAUUGCCUUCUCAUCAUCAAACCGCAAUAUUUUCUAAACUCGUACACUGUACUCUCCAAUCCGCAGCGUUGCAUUUGUAUGGAUGUACUUUUAACGUCUUUAUCCGGAUUCUCGAUGCUUCGGAUGGGGAAAAAGGUGAUCGAAAGACGCGACGGACUCGAUGAAAGG
Molecule: unclassified non-coding RNA, 521 nt
Filed under: Athalia rosae (coleseed sawfly)
Lineage: Eukaryota; Metazoa; Arthropoda; Insecta; Hymenoptera; Athaliidae
Description: misc RNA ENSAEAG00005008539.1
Source: RNAcentral